Molecule: ribosomal RNA, 484 nt
Filed under: uncultured bacterium
Lineage: Bacteria
Description: partial 16S ribosomal RNA
Rfam family: Bacterial small subunit ribosomal RNA
Source: RNAcentral
AUUGAACGCUGGCGGCAUGCUUUACACAUGCAAGUCGAGCGGCAGCAGGGGGGUAACCCUGGUGGCGAGCGGCGAACGGGUGAGUAAUACCUAGGAACAUGCCUAGUAGUGGGGGAUAACACCUGGAAAGAAGUGCUAAUACCGCAUACGUCCUGAGGGGGAAAGCGGGGGAUCGCAAGACCUCGCGCGAUCGGAGUAGCCGAGGUCGGAUUAGCUAGUUGGUGGGGUAAAGGCCUACCAAGGCAACGAUCUGUAGCUGGUCUGAGAGGAUGAUCAGUCACACUGGAACUGAGACACGGCCCAGACUCCUACGGGAGGCAGCAGUGGGGAAUAUUGGACAAUGGGGGCAAGCCUGAUCCAGCCAUGCCGCGUGUGUGAAGAAGGCCUUCGGAUUGUAAAGCUCUUUAGGCAGGAAGGAAACGGAGAAAGCUAACACAGCGCUGUAAUGACGGUACCAGAAGAAGAAGCACCGGCUAACUUCGUG